GCUAAGCAUAGUACGAACUGGGUGGACAUGGAGUCAAGGACAUGGUAAGGAAGUCAAGCAAGUGGUUGAUUUGCUCUCUUCUUCGUUUCACCAUGCUGCACCCCUUCUAGCUUAUUAGUCGCCUCUUUCAUCUCUUUUCACUGUACUAACCUGCCAAUAUUUUCCCAUCUUUGCAACGAUUGACAUGUUUAGUUUUAGUUUUACAGUAGACCAGAAUGUAUGCUGAUCUACAGUGAUUCUUAAUUGUACAUGGUCUUCUCAACUUCAAGGUCAUAACCGAUUCAGUUUUGUUUAUAAUCUAUUUUCCCUAUCACUUUUUAACUCUUGAAUUCGCCAGGCCAACCAUCCUACAGUAGUGUAGGAAUUCAGUUAGCACGUCAUAACAUGUUAUUCUCUUUCGAUAAUGCUUUUGUUGGAUUUUUUAGGAACAAGGUGGCGAAAAAAUAAGUGGUUGUGGAAGCAAUGGUUUGUUUGGGGAGGUGGAGAACGUUUUUAUGUUAUUUUUGGUAGGCAUGAAGACACCCAUUUCUAUUUGUUCAUAGUAAUUCACUCCAGGCUUCUGAUUGGAUCAUUACAUUGAUGUUCCAGCUGCUGGGCUACAUGGAGUUGUUUUUGUUUAAAACAUAUGAUCUUGACGCUACCCAUUUUUCCCUGUCAACAUUAGCUUUCUCUCUGCCAUUCAGAAUUGUUCAGGACAAAACCAUGCAGAUAUAGACCUUUAGUAUCCUUCUCAUUGAUGAAAUUUAUUUCCAUCUAUCCAGUAGGUUCACUGAAGGGGAGCCUUGGCGCAGUGGUAAAGCUGCUGCCUUGUGACCAUGAGGUCACGGGUUCAAGUCCUGGAAACAGCCUCUUGCAGAAAUGUAGGGAAAGACUGCGUACAAUAGACCCAAAGUGGUCGGACCCUUCCCCAGACCCUGCGCAAGCGGGAGCUACAUGCACUGGGGCUGCCCCUUUUUUUUAUCCAGUAGGUUCACUAUAACAGCUAGAUUACUUUUAAUGUAAUUAUGAUUAUUCCACUUUUAAUGUAAUUUAUAGAGCUGACGGGCAAAAGUUGUGCAUGUUUUAAUUAGUUACAAAAGAUAUAGUUGGAACUAAUAAAAUCAUGUUCAUUAUUUGGUAGCUAAGUCAGAACUCGGAGUCGGGACAACUCAACAAGGGAACGAGGAGCCUCAAGGGAGAUACCUGCAUAACACUGGAUGCAGUGAAGAAGGAAUCAGAAAUAUUCUUAUGUUUUAGUGGCGGAAUGGCAAGGCGGCCGGUUAGAUAACCUGGGUCCGUGGCGAGUUGGUGGCUCUCGACUACAAGAAGAUCAUUGAGGCAAUCGAUAGUAGGUUGGUAAAUUGCUAACAAAACAUGUUUAGAACUAUAAAAUUGGCUUUGUUCUGCUAUUUAUUUAUGUUUUGACUAAAAGUAGCAAUUUAUGCUUCCGUAUUAAGAUUUCAACAAGAAUCUAUAAAGGGCUCUAAGGGAGUAGAGGAAUCAAAAGAAAACACCUGGCAGUGCAAAGUGCACUUAGGCAGUAAGGUCAACACAAGACUACUCAUGAAACGAUACACAUACGAACUCCCGGACAUUGCAUACCGGGGAGCUUUCUUCUAUUUAGGAUUUAAGGUACUCGAUCAUUUGUUCUAAGUUCAGUAUUAAGUUAAUUUUUGUUCUGAAUGAUUACAAACACAAUACAUGUUGGUCUAAGAAAAGACUUUUUUAAUUUGUAAUCCCUGUGUAAUACCAAUCGAUUUUGUUUUUUGCACAUCUAGGCUGAUAAUAUGCUCACGAAAAGACAGGAAUGCAGCACCACUCCAAUCUUUAGAAGGUCCCCACCCUGUUCUGGUAUGUUUAUGCUUAUGCAUCUACAGAAUUAUUCGAUGUUAUAUUGAUGUGUGAAUGGUGUAUCGUCCCUGUUCUGGUAUGAAAAUCGGGUUGCUAGGAAUAAUCUCCAUCAUUCCUGGGUUGUGCAUAUGUGUUGUUCUAUAUUCCCCUCUUUAUAAUGCUAUGUGUUGUGGUCAACGCUCCCAAGCUAUGAUAGCUCGCUGCUGGUAGGUUGCCGCCCUGGCCCUCACAUGCUACCAGCAUGUGUUACUGUACAUUUUGCUUUCUUACAUGUCUUGAAUUAUAUUUCAAGAAAGAUGACUAUGAUUUAUAAGCACACGAACACAUCACAAUGUCACAUGGUAAUGCCAUGGUGAUGGCAAUCUAGGGUCAUUUCUGUUAGAGAAGCCCCCUACCCCCUAGCCCCAGAUAUGCAAAUUCUGAGCGUCACCACGAAUAAGUGCAGAGGAAUAGUGGGUAGACCGCAAACCCUAAAUUUCUAGCAAUUCUGAAUACAUUCAUGUGCCAAUGAGGUGUCCAUGUAAUCAUGAUGUUAUAUUAGAUUUUUUAUGUUGUUAUUUCUUACCCUGGUAGUACAACUAUGUAUACAAAACUCCAACACUGC
RNAcentral lists this long non-coding RNA (2434 nucleotides) under Triticum aestivum (bread wheat). Its description in RNAcentral is "long non-coding RNA (TAES_LNC027538)". Lineage: Eukaryota; Viridiplantae; Streptophyta; Magnoliopsida; Poales; Poaceae. The record is from RNAcentral.